RNAcentral lists this ribosomal RNA (417 nucleotides) under Triticum aestivum (bread wheat). Its description in RNAcentral is "partial small subunit ribosomal RNA". The record is from RNAcentral. Lineage: Eukaryota; Viridiplantae; Streptophyta; Magnoliopsida; Poales; Poaceae.
AUGCUGCUGCUUACCCUACUAGUUGAAAAUGUACUGGAGACAGCUAUUGCUGUUUUAUUCAGUGAUUUCAUUGAUGUUCUGAGAGGCACUCGGCGGUACAUGGCAGAAGUUGAGUACGCCAGCAUACAUGCACUGACUCUUGUGCAUGUCUAUGGAAACACUGAAGAGAGAGAUGGGAAACCCAAGUUUGAGUUUGAGGUGGAGCCCACCAGGAAGGGGAGAUAUUUGACAAAGAGGCAUUUGAAGCUUCAGAGGAAGUGGGAAAAGAGGAAGAGGAAGGAGGCCAAUAAAAAUGAUCUACGGCAAUAUCAGCCCAAGAGGGAAAAACAAAACAGAAAUUCCCUACAGCUGAAGCCUGACUCAAAUAUAAGAUCAAGAAGGCAGUUGAAAAAUCAAAAUAUGAACAAUAGCUGGUGA